UACGUAGGGUGCAAGCGUUGUCCGGAAUUAUUGGGCGUAAAGAGCUCGUAGGCGGUCUGUCGCGUCUGCUGUGAAAACUCAGGGCUUAACCCUGAGCUUGCAGUGGGUACGGGCAGACUAGAGUGGCGGUAGGGGAGACUGGAAUUCCUGGUGUAGCGGUGAAAUGCGCAGAUAUCAGGAGGAACACCGAGUGGCGAAGGCAGGUCUCUGGGCCAACUACUGAC
RNAcentral lists this ribosomal RNA (224 nucleotides) under uncultured bacterium. Its description in RNAcentral is "partial 16S ribosomal RNA". It matches the Rfam family "Bacterial small subunit ribosomal RNA", at positions 524 to 744 of the family's 1533-position model. The record is from RNAcentral.